ACGUGAUUCUGCUUCCAUUAAUAACCAGUGGGGUUAGCUCCUCUGUAUUCUCGUUACUUUUGUUUCAGCGUCCAAGAUAACGGAUCUGUCUUCACCUAAUCACUCCACUUCGUUCUUCCACACUCUUCCUAAUUCGUCUCAUCUUCAACCUCUCUUUCUCGCUUACUCUCAUCUCUCCCUUUUCCUCUCAUUCUGCUUCAUAUUGCCUGAAGACGUCGGAUCUGUUACUCAGGGUCGUCGAACACUCUGGUAACACCUCGAACCUUGCGUAUCUCACGGAUCUGAAUUACUGUUUGCUUCUCUUUUUCUGCUUCUUCUUCUGAUUUCUGUACCUUACACUCCUCAGUCUCCCAUUCUUCACAGAUCUAAUUCCUCAGUCUUCGUCUCAUCUCAUCACGUUUGUAGAUUAUAAAAUUUUUGAAGUUCUGGAUUGUGUUUGCUUUUGAUCUGUGUGUGUAUGAUAAUUUUCUUGAAUAUGGAGUUUGCUAUGCGUGUAUGGGUACGAGUAUUAUGCUUUUGGUUGCUUCUGAUUUGGGAUGGCAUAUAUCAUAGCUUGCAAUACUUGAAGAGUAUGUAUGUGUGAUCAUCGUUCCACUGAAAAAGAAUCUUUAGAAUUUAUCCAUUUUUGUAUAGCAAUGCAGUGAGCACAGAACAACUUACUCUUAGUUCACACAAGGAAAAGCUUCUUCCAUUGUUGCAAAACGCGCCUUUAUGGUCUCCCCAAGCCCAGCCAAGCCUCAUAGAUUUGUGUAACUCCCUCGGUCAUCGAUCAUUACAGAGUCUUAUACAUUCUACACAAGCCAAAUUAUGAUGAGCACCGAAACUAAUCUCCUUUGGGAAUGGGUCGGGCGGGCAAAAGAGCAAAACAAAAUUUGAGCAAAGGUAGUUGAUGAAGCCCUGAUCGAGGAAUUUCAAACGGUUGUGAAAGAAGGAAUUUUACCACGGAGCAAAAUCAAUCUGUGGCCAGCCCAUGCCCACAUUCAUUUGUUGUCAUAGUUAAUAGCAACACAUAAAUUUCGUUAUAAAAGCACAAUGAUAUUUGUAGCA
Molecule: long non-coding RNA, 1047 nt
Organism: Prosopis cineraria
Lineage: Eukaryota; Viridiplantae; Streptophyta; Magnoliopsida; Fabales; Fabaceae
Exons: 3
Source: RefSeq, a predicted model, not a curated record